GGCGGCUUGAUACAGGGUGAGGCGGUCAAACUACCUUAUUCGUAAUCAGUAGGUCCCCAGUUCAAUCCUGGGUGUCGGCACCA
RNAcentral lists this transfer RNA (83 nucleotides) under Acidiphilium sp. 20-67-58. RNAcentral describes it as "tRNA-Thr". Lineage: Bacteria; Pseudomonadati; Pseudomonadota; Alphaproteobacteria; Acetobacterales; Acidocellaceae. The record is from RNAcentral.